AACGAACGCUGGCGGCAGGCUUAACACAUGCAAGUCGAACGCAUCCUUCGGGGUGAGUGGCAGACGGGUGAGUAACGCGUGGGAACGUGCCCUUCAGUUCGGGAUAACCCAGGGAAACUUGGGCUAAUACCGGAUACGUGCGAGAGCAGAAAGAUUUAUCGCUGAAGGAUCGGCCCGCGUCUGAUUAGCUAGUUGGUGGGGUAAUGGCCCACCAAGGCGACGAUCAGUAGCUGGUCUGAGAGGAUGAGCAGCCACAUUGGGACUGAGACACGGCCCGAACGCCUACGGGAGGCAGCAGUGGGGAAUAUUGGACAAUGGUCGCAAGCCUGAUCCAGCCAUGCCGCGUGAGUGAUGAAGGCCUUAGGGUUGUAAAGCUCUUUCGUCCGGGACGAUAAUGACGGUACCGGAAGAAGAAGCCCCGGCUAACUUCGUGCCAGCAGCCGCGGUAA
RNAcentral lists this ribosomal RNA (449 nucleotides) under uncultured bacterium. Its description in RNAcentral is "partial 16S ribosomal RNA". It matches the Rfam family "Bacterial small subunit ribosomal RNA", at positions 29 to 523 of the family's 1533-position model. The record is from RNAcentral.